Long non-coding RNA from Rhododendron vialii, 5568 nucleotides. RefSeq lists it as uncharacterized. The record is from RefSeq and is a predicted model, not a curated record. Lineage: Eukaryota; Viridiplantae; Streptophyta; Magnoliopsida; Ericales; Ericaceae. The transcript has 2 exons.
GUGGGACUCCAAAAUGGGUCCCACACAAGGUUUUUUACAUUUUGUGUCAAAAGAUGUCUCCGGAACCGCCUCCUGCGUGUGUGUGUGUGUAUUUCCAUUGGUCUUGUUUCAUCAUUCGAUAUGCCAAUCUAUUUUGUGUAGCUGUGAUACUAGUGGUGUAGUUUCUUCUAGCUUGGAUCAUUUUUGGUUUUGUAGACUCUUCACAUAGGUGAUUGGUUUGCCCCUUGCGAGCUGAGGUGGGUUUGUUCUACAUUUUUUGUUUUUAUGUUGUCUUGUUCAUCGGUGGCAUACUCUUGAUGCCUUUUAAUGCAAUAUUCGCUUAUCGAAGAAAUGCAUAAAAUGAAGUUGGAAGGUAGUAUAGGCUGGACUUGGCUGCUGGAGAAUAGGGUGGUGCAGAAUCGGGCAAACUGUGGAUGGGGGUGGAGUUUAAGCAGGUGUGAUGGUGGUUCAUCCAAGCAGGACAAUUAAUCGAUUCCUCUUUUCAUGCAAGGCGGAAGUGACAAUUUUGUAUGGAGAAGUGAAGUUCAGAGAUCAAUCAGAUUGGUGUUUUUUGACAGCCAGUCACUCUUAGGGACAGGGCUGAGUGUAGGUGAAUUCGGUGGGUCGGCUGAUUGUUUUGUGAAAUGAUGAAGUUUUGAAGAUAUUGCUGAUCAAGUGAGGUUUCCUAGGAGUGGACAAACUGAGUUUCUUUAUACAAAUAAUUUCUUUGUCCUCUCAAUGUUACAUGUGCUCCCAAUAUCAUUCCUUAGAAUGCCAUUGAGCUACUAAUGCCAUAAUAUUUGGCCUCCGAAUAGCGGCUGAAAGUAAACUGAGUUUGUUAAUUCAAUUUAAAAAAAAAAACUGUAUAUGUUAAGGAAUCGUCUGGAAAGGUCCAAUUAAAAGGGGAUCUAGGUCAUUGUCUAUGAUGGAUUUUGGGGUAGUGAAGGGGGGAUCUGGGGUUCAUAGUCGCACUAGUGGGCUUUAGCAUUGAAGAGCUUCCCGGAAGGAAGAUCACCUUUUCUCUUGCGCCCCCUCCAAAAAAUACUUGGCCUGGGACCCAGAAACACAUUUCUGCUUCAUUUGAAGAAAUACAGAUCCGAAAACCAAAGAGCGACUGAUUGGGGAAGCAGCAUGACUGUACUUUCAGCUUGAAUUUCAUUUCACACAAAAUUUAGGGGAAAAAGAUUGUUGCAGUAAUAAGAGUUUUCACCAGUAGUGGUAGGGUUGUGCGUUACGUAGCUGACAGCCAGCACGUAAAAAAAAAAUCCGUCAGAUCUUUAUGACAUGAAUCCAAAUAUGAUUACGAGACAUGCUAGGGCGUUCCCUUUAAGCGACGCGUUGUGCCUGCCUUCGGGUGCUUCGAAAAAUGAGCAAGGGGCGCCACACCGGCGCCCGGGUGUGAUGAUAAGUGAGCAAGGGCUCUCGCGCAUGCCUGGAUGAACGCGGGUAAAGAAGCUAGCUCAGGACUAUAGGAUUCAUUUAGCAACUUGGAAUAUAGGGACAUUAACGGGUAAGACUAGGGAGCUAGUUGACACCGUGCUUAGGAGGAGGAUUAGUAUAGCUUGCCUUCAGGAGACUAGGUGGGUAAGGGAGAAAGCUAGGGAGAUAGAGGACACAGGUUAUAAGCUUUACUAUACGGGUAAGGAUAGACAUAGAAAUGGGGUAGGUAUCGUAGUAGAUAAACACCUAAAAGAUUCGGUAGUUACGGUAACGAGAAAAGAACAUCGGAUUAUUUUAGUUAAGCUUGUGAUCGGAGAGAGUAUAGUUAAUAUUAUUAGUGCUUACGCGCCCCAAGUAGGCUUGGAUGAUCUUAUUAAAGAGCAAUUCUGGGAGCAAAUGGAUGACGUGGUUCAAGGGAUACCUUUUGGGGAGAAGCUAUUUAUAGGAGGCGAUUUCAAUGGUCAUGUGGGAGUGCAUAAGCAAGGGUAUGAGAAGGUACAUGGUGGCUUUGGAUUUGGUGACCUUAACGAAGGUGGUAGGAGGAUUUUAGAUUUCGCGGUAGCUUUUGACCUUAUAGUUGGGAAUACUCUCUAUAGGAAGCGAGAUGAGCAUUUAAUUACCUUUAAGAGUGAAGCCAAUAGAAGCCAAAUCGACUAUUUUCUUGCUCGAGGGGCAGACCGCUUGACAUGUAAGGAUUGUAAGGUUAUUCCCGGAGAGUGUCUAGUAGCACAACAUAGACUUUUGGUGUUAGAUAUUUGUCUCAAUGGGGAUAAUAGAAGGAGAAAGGAAACUAGAUGCCCACGGAUUAAAUGGUGGGGCCUAAGAGGGGAGAAACUAGAGGUAUUCAAGGAAAGAAUGUCUCAAGAAAUACGGUGGGGAGUGGAAGGCGAUAGUGACAAUAUGUGGACUACGUAGCUGACGGUAUUAGAAGAAUAUCAAAAGAAGUUCUUGGCGAGUCGAAGGGAAAAUGUCCAAUUUCUAAGGAGAUAUGGUGGUGAAAUGACGAAGUUCAAGCCAUGGUAAAAGCAAAGGAGUGCUUUAAAAAGUGGCAAAAUGAUCGGAAUGAGGAAAAUUUUCAGGGCUAUAAGCAAGCUAGCAAGGAAGCUAAGAAAACCGUUAGGGAUUGCUAAGUUGAAAGCCUAUGAGAAUUUCUACGCUAGACUCGAUAGUAAAGAUGGAGAAAAAAAUAUUUAUAAACUUGCUUAGCUACGAGAAAGGAAAGUUAGAGACGUUUCUCAAGUUAAGUGUAUAAAAGAUAUUGAUUCGGUGGUGUUGGUGAAAGACGAGGCGAUCAAGGAUAGAUGGAAAUCGUAUUUCGAUAAGUUGUUAAACGAGAAACAUGAAGGAGGCUUUGGUGGGGAGGAAGUGUAUGUACCUGGCAAGAACAUAGAAUAUGAGUUUUAUUGAAGAAUACAAAAGUUCGAAGUGGUUAAAGCUUUGAAAAGGAUGAAACCGGGUAAGGCCCUAGGACCAGAUGGUAUUCCUAUUGAAGUGUGGAAAAGUCUAGGUGACUUGGGGGUGACUUGGUUGACGAAGUUGUUCAACAAGAUUAUUAUGACUAGGAAGAUGCCCGACGAAUGGAGAAGGAGCACUUUAGUACCUAUCUAUAAGAAUAAAGGGGAUAUUCAAAGUUGCAACAACUAUAGAGGUAUUAAAUUGAUGAGUCAUAUGAUGAAGUUGUGGGAAAGAGUUAUUGAGCAUCGCUUGAGGAUGGUGACUACGGUGUCAGAGAAACAGUUUGGGUUCAUGCUAGGAAGAUCUACCAUGGAAGCUAUUUACCUAUUAAGGAGAUUGGUAGAAAAAUACAUAGCAAAGAAGAAGGAUCUCCAUAUGGUUUUCAUAGACUUAGAAAUGGCUUAUGAUAGGGUGCCUAGGGACAUCAUAUGGUGGGUUCUGGAGAGAAAAUGAGUGACCAAAGGGUAUAUCGAGGUGAUUAGAGACAUGUAUGAAGGUGCCGUCACUACCAUUAGAUCACCAAUAGGGGAAACGAGUGAAUUUCCUAUCACCGUAGGAUUGCAUCAAGAGUCAUCCCUGAGCCCAUACCUCUUUGCCUUAGUUAUGGAUGAAUUGACUAGACAAUUUCAAGAGAAUAUUCCAUGGUGUAUGAUGUUUAUAGAUGACAUUGUCCUCGUAGAUGAAAUCGCUAGAAGUGUUAAUACGAAACUAGAAAUUUGGAGAGAAGCAUUAGAGUCAAAGGGUUUUCGGAUAAGUAGGAGUAAAACUAAAUAUAUGAUGUGCAAGUUUAGUGGUACCAGUAGUGCGCAUGAAGGAAGAGUGAUGAUCCAAGACCAGGAGAUACCAAAGAGUGAUCAUUUUAGGUAUUUAGGCUCAAUUAUUAGAAGAGAUGGAGAGAUUGUUGAUGAUGUGACCCAUAGGAUCCAAGUGGGGUGGCUCAAGUGGAGAAGCGCUACUGGUGUACUAUGUGACAAGAGGGUACCUACAAAAUUGAAGGAAAAAUUCUAUAGAACUGCCAUAAGAUCAGCGAUGCUUUAUGGGAUAGAAUGUUGGCCUAUUAAGAAACAACAUGUGAGCAAAUUUAGUGUAGCAAAAAUGAGAAUGUUGAGGUGGAUGUGUGGUAAGACUAGACGAGACAAGAUUAGAAAUGAAAUAGUUCGUGAGAUGGUAGGUGUAGCACCUAUAGAGGAGAAGUUGAGGAAAAAUAGGCUAAGGUGAUUUGGGUAUAUCUACCGUAGACCAGAAGAUGCAGUAGUUAAUAAAGCGGAUAGGAUAGCUCUAGGUAGCAAUGUUACGGGGAGGGGUAGACCUAAAUUGACAUUAGAUGCUGUAGUGCGCAAAGAUAUGAGUAUAAUGGAUCUGUGUGAACAAGUGGCACUUGACAGAGUCCAAUGGAGGAAACGGAUUCAUGUAGCCGACCCCAAGUGAUUGGGACGUAAGGCUCGGUUUGGUUUGGUUUGGUACCAGUAGUGGUAGGUGAAUGAAUAUGGUGCGAUAACCAUAACGAUGUAUUAGAAGCCGUGUUGGAAAAAGGGAACAUCUAGAUGUGAAAUAGUAGUAUGAUAGACAUGACGUGGACCUGCUCGACCUUUUUUCUACCGCUGAAAAAGCAUUCUCUUCGUUUGUUUCUUACCAUAUUGCAAUUCCUAUAGGCUAGAAAUGAGUGUUUUUGUUUUAUUCGUUGCGGAGUUCAAAUUGAUUAGUUCCAACCACCACUCAUGACAACCUAUGAAAGGAAUUGAUCAACUAUGUUGCUGUACGUAUUAAGAAUAUUUGAUGAUUUAAGUAACAGCUGUUUAGUUUAUCUAAAACUAACGACACGUCUAUAUUUUAGUAGAAAAUGCUCCGUAGCAAUGUACAAUUGUACAUAUUGGAAGUUUGGAACACACGUACCGAAACAUGAUACCCCUGUGUUCUCAAACAGUAAAUUUAGCUAUCCUAAUAGACCCCCAAAGGUUUUCUGAAUUAUUAGCUAAACACUAGAACAUAAUCCAAUCCUAAGUCAACGCUUGCGAAUAUACCCCCAAGGUUUUCUGUUCUUAACGCAGCUUUGACAAGGAAAAAAAAUACUAAGAAAGUCAGUCAUAAAGCCUUGAGAUAUUUGUUUUACGGGGUAAUUCGAAAGAUGUUACUCUGUUUUGGUAGAUGUAUCAGUCUGAAGUAUAGUACGGUGUUUGUCUAUAUAGAAGCCUACUCCUAUGUACUCCCUCCACCCCAUAUUGCUUGUCCUGCUUUCUAUUUCGGGAUGUCCCAAAAUGAUUGUCCUCUUUGAAAGUCAAACUAAAAAGUGUACGUUUCCACAAACUAACCCUCAUAAAUGAUUAGAAGUAGUUUUUGAUGAAGAGUUAGGGAUAACAUUGGAAAUCUAAUCAAACUUUCUAAGGAGACCCGCAUUAAUUGCUUGUCCACUUAAAAGUUGGAUUCCCCGUACGUGACAACCAAUAUGGGACGGAGGGAGAUCAUAUAUUUAUGGCAUGUAGAAUAACCCUUCCCGGUUAAUGUACCAGAACAGUCCACAUUCCAAGUGACAUAGGUAGUUUAGCCUUGCCUUUGUUAUCCAGUAGCUAUGUCUGCUCUUUUAUGGUUGAAUGAUGUGUUUUUCCUGCUAAUGAUUACUAGUGCCAUUGGAUGUGUGGUUUUACGCCUGCUUGACAUGCAGAGAGGGUUCCUACUUACCAUUUUUUUUUAUUCCCA